CUGCUGCCUCCCGUAGGAGUUUGGGCCGUGUCUCAGUCCCAAUGUGGCCGUCCGCCCUCUCAGGCCGGCUACCGAUCGUCGCUUUGGUGGGCCGUUACCCCGCCAACUGGCUAAUCGGGCGCGGGCCCAUCCCGUGCCGCCGGAGCUUUCCGCAUACUGCCAUGCGGCUGUAUGCGCUUAUGCGGUAUUAGCGCCUGUUUCCAGGCGGUAUCCCCCGGCACGGGGCAGGUUGCCCACGCGUUACUCACCCGUCCGCCACUAAG
Molecule: ribosomal RNA, 263 nt
Filed under: uncultured bacterium
Lineage: Bacteria
Description: partial 16S ribosomal RNA
Source: RNAcentral